Molecule: ribosomal RNA, 253 nt
Filed under: uncultured bacterium
Lineage: Bacteria
Description: partial 16S ribosomal RNA
Rfam family: Bacterial small subunit ribosomal RNA
Source: RNAcentral
UACGUAGGGGGCAAGCGUUGUCCGGAAUUAUUGGGCGUAAAGGGCGCGUAGGCGGCUCGGCACGUCCGUUGUGAAAUCGCCCGGCUCAACUGGGCGGGGUCGGCGGAUACGGCCGAGCUGGAGCAAGCUAGGGGGUAAUGGAAUUCCCGGUGUAGUGGUGGAAUGCGUAGAUAUCGGGAGGAACACCAGUGGCGAAGGCGGUUACCUGGAGCUUUGCUGACGCUGAUGCGCGAAAGCGUGGGGAGCGAUCCGG